This 460-nucleotide ribosomal RNA is filed under the name uncultured bacterium. RNAcentral describes it as "partial 16S ribosomal RNA". It matches the Rfam family "Bacterial small subunit ribosomal RNA", at positions 338 to 795 of the family's 1533-position model. The record is from RNAcentral.
CCUACGGGUGGCAGCAGUGAGGAAUAUUGGUCAAUGGACGCAAGUCUGAACCAGCCAUGCCGCGUGCAGGAAGACGGCUCUAUGAGUUGUAAACUGCUUUUGUACGAGGGUAAACGCAGAUAAGUGUAUCUGUCUGAAAGGAUCGUACGAAUAAGGAUCGGCUAACUCCGGGCCAGCAGCCGCGGUAAUACGGAGGAUUCAAGCGUUAUCCGGAUUUAUUGGGUUUAAGGGGUGCGUAGGCGGUCGGAUAAGUUAGAGGUGAAAUCCCGAGGCUCAACUUCGGAAUUGCAUCUGAUACUGUUCGGCUAGAGAGUAGUAGCGGUAGGCGGAAUGUAUGGUGUAGCGGUGAAAUGCUUAGAGAUCGUACAGAACACCGAUUGCGAAGGCAGCAUACCGGCGCCCAACUGACGCUGAAGCACGAAAGCGUGGGUAGCGAACAGGAUUAGAUACCCUAGUAGUC